Molecule: long non-coding RNA, 605 nt
Organism: Schistocerca gregaria
Lineage: Eukaryota; Metazoa; Arthropoda; Insecta; Orthoptera; Acrididae
Exons: 4
Source: RefSeq, a predicted model, not a curated record
AUCAUACUACGCGCGUGAGGCAAAAGUACACGUGCGUAUCGACCAAGCUAUAUAGCCUCAGCAGUGCUGAUAUUGGGCAGAACAUAUAAAUUUACUUGACCUGUGAUCAACUGAUUUGAUUCAGCCGAGAUUACUCUUUGCUAGUCUAGAAACAAUGGGAGAUUGGUGGGAAAAUGUCGGACAAGCUUUUGUCAACCAUUACUAUGCAGAAUUUGACAAAUCGGUAGAAUCUAGAGUAAAUUUAGUCAACCUUUAUCAAGAUGUCUCGAUGCUCACCUUCAGUGGACAACCAUUUCAAGGCCCCAGAGAUAUUGGCGGAAAAUUAGCGGACCUCAAAUUUCAAAGAAUUGAACAUGUUCCAUAUUCGAUCGUCUGCCAGCCUGCACCAAACAAUGCUGUUAUUGUACUCGUGGCGGGGCAAUUAAGAACAGAUGAUGAUCCUCCUCAUUAUUUUUCUCAAGUCUUUCAUUUGAUGCCAACAGGUGAAUCUUAUUUUGUUUACAAUGACAUCUUCACUCUUAUCAUUUGCUAGAUUAUGAGGUUACUUUACUAAGCUAAGCGUGUGGAUCGUCCUGCAUGCGGAGACCAUGAUAUCUUUAAUAAAA